UACGUAGGGGGCUAGCGUUGUCCGGAAUCAUUGGGCGUAAAGAGCGUGUAGGCGGUCCGGUAAGUCCGCUGUGAAAGUCGGGGGCUCAACCCUCGAAUGCCGGUGGAUACUGUCGGGCUAGAGUGCGGAAGAGGCGAGUGGAAUUCCUGGUGUAGAGGUGAAAUUCGUAGAUAUUGGGAAGAACACCGGUGGCGAAGGCGGCUCUCUGGACCGAUACUGACGCUGAGGCGCGAAAGCGUGGGGAGCGAACAGG
Molecule: ribosomal RNA, 253 nt
Filed under: uncultured bacterium
Lineage: Bacteria
Description: partial 16S ribosomal RNA
Rfam family: Bacterial small subunit ribosomal RNA
Source: RNAcentral